Long non-coding RNA from Dromaius novaehollandiae (emu), 16920 nucleotides. RefSeq lists it as uncharacterized. The transcript is spliced from 3 exons. The record is from RefSeq and is a predicted model, not a curated record. NCBI's taxonomy places the organism in Eukaryota, Metazoa, Chordata, Aves, Casuariiformes, Dromaiidae.
GCAGAGGCACCGUUUAGCUCUGGGAAAUCAAUGGGACUCACUGUGUUAUCAGUGUUAUCAGCAAGAUAAAAGUACCAGAAUGAAAGAAUACAGUUGUUUGGUAGAGCUGGCUGAUAAUUUUCCAUCCUAAUGCUUUCCUACUGAAAACUGAGGUUUUGAUCAAAGGAUUUGCUUUCCUCCACAAAAUUUGUUUUGCAGCACGUGAUGUUGGACUGUCUCGCAAAUGGUAACUCCCACGUUUAAGGAGAAUGCUCUUAAUGAACUGCCUUUAAAAAGAAAAAACACAUACAGAGGAGAUGGAAAGUCUCCCUGGAGAGUCUCAGGAGAUGCCCAGAAGACAUCUCCAGGGUCACGUAAUUCUUUGAAUCCUACCCAACUUUUGCUGAAGUUAAUUGAAAAAACUCCCAUUGACUUGAAGAGGUUUUGGAUCUGGCUCAAAGUGCUCUCCGUGGCAGCAGAUUGCAAGAAGGAACCCCACUGUGCAAUUCCAGCCAUCUGCCUAUGGAUAAGGCUUGAUGAUACAAAUGUGUUUGCUUGGAACAUGCAGUAAGGCACUUCGCUUCCAAUUAGGCAGUGCUUCAGACCGAAGGAGAUCUCUGCCUCUCACCUGUGGCCUCUCUUAUCUAAGAUCUACUCUGACCUGGUGAUCUUUAAAGUAGCAAUAUAAGCUGAUGCACAGCAAUAUCACAAGUUGCUUAUCUCUGCUUUGCUUAUGUAAAAAGGUAACCUAGUGCUAGGUUAAGCUCACGUUGAGAUUCCUGCAACUCAGCUGGUUGGGUGUAGUGCUGUUUGCUUGAGACAGGACAAAAUGUCCCUGCUUACAUCUCAAACCUGAGCUUAGUGAUAUCAUUGUCAUUAUCAAUCUUUUACUGUAUCAACCGUGGGAUUAGAAAAGGGAACUGUUUCAGAAACAAAGCAAAGGAUGACUCAGUGCAGUAUAUAAGGCUGCUCGUAAUUAGCACACACAGCUGUGUGUUGCCCUUUUCAUCUAAAAAUGGUAAAGAAGGGGAGUGAUGUGUGUAGAAGGCUUAUUUGAAGGAUGGUUGUCUUCAGCAGUAUAGCAGCAUAGCAGAGAAUCAAAUGAGGUUUGAUGUAAAACACGGCCAGAGACGGUGUAAAUUGCCUCAGCUGAUUAGGAAACAGCAAAGCAGUUAGCAUCCUGGAACAUGAUGUGUUUAUUGCAUGACUGUGGGAAUUUGGAGGAGAGAAACUGAGCAGCCUUAUCGUGUGCCAGGCCUCAGCGGUGUCCUCUGCCAGCUUUAAUCAUCAAUUACUGUAAUGCUGGGGCAAACCACCACAGCUUAAUUAUUGUCUGGAGUGUGUGGCCAUAGGUAGCUCCUCUGGGCUACGUGCAUAGCUGAGCAGAUCAGCUGGUGAGCGGGGUAGCAGGGGACUGUACCUUAGGCUCUGUCUCGGGGACCCAAGCAAUCUUUGCGCCUGUGCUGGAGGCAUCUCAAGGGCUUCCUCUGUCAGACUCCACGCAGAUCAGAGAGAGACAUUCCCUAACUAGGGAGCCCACAGCACAUGGAUAAAAUGACAGGCAGCGAUGUACUUCAUAGGCUUGAGGCAGCUGUGAACUGCCUUUGCAGGUGCUUCUGAUUGUGGAAAUCACGCAUUUGCCCAGAAGAGUGAGUCCAGGUGCAGCCUAGGUUUAGAACCACGUUGAAAAUCAGAGGAGGUACCUGCAAUUGGGUUUCGCCUCAGACCAUAGAAGCUGCUGAGAUUCUUCUGAUUGCUUUCAGUGGGGUUUGAUCAAGCCUUGAUCUCUUCUGCAGGCAGCAUCUGCCACCAGACAGGAUAGUGUCCUGCUAAUCUCCUGUCUGUGCUGGGCUGGACUGUGCACUUGAUAGUGAAUUUCCAAUAUGGGUAAUAUAGGCCUUUUGUUGCUUGUGUUUUUUUGUUUUUGUUCAUCAGAAAUGUAUUCAACAUACAUAGUUUUGACCGACACUUCAAAAGAUGUGUAUAAGUAAAAAGAAACGUCUCUGCAGGAGAGAGCCUUUAGCUCAGCUCUGAAAAUCGGUUGUGAUCAUGAAUCAGCAGUAUGAUACUUGUGGUUUAUCUCUGCUCUGCAGUUGCCCCACAGUUCAGGGCCUGUUGGUCAUAGGUGGGUGUCAUUUAAGGAAAUUGAUUUCUAGAAGAUGUAAAGUGCAAUAUGCUGACAUGGAGUGAGACACUAGGUUUUGCUCUGUUGGUGACUUAUGCUCUGGACAGGAACAGCGUGCUGCCAGCAUGCUCCUUGCCCACUCUUGCAGGGGGUCCAUUAGCUUACAAAGUGCCAUCUGAUUUUUACUGAAUGUUCUUAUAAAACAUGACAUGCUGGGGCACAGGGUAUCGACAUGCCUUGGCAAGGUGAGCCCCCCUGGCAGGAUGGUAUUGAUAUUGCCCUGAGGAAAUGGAGCAGUGCUGAGAGGGGUUUGGCCACUGUCGGAAAGAGCUGAGUUCAUUACCCAAGUGAGCCAAGCAGGACUGGCCAAGGGGGCUUGUACAUGCAUCGAGGUGGUGCUAGCUGGCAGGUACAGGCUUAAUUUGGGUCAGACAAGACCAUACUGCCCCAAUAGGGUGCUAUUCCUUGAUGUAUGUAGCAGACGGAGACAUGCACGUCCUGAAAUCUCGUGGUACUCCCUGUGUGUGGUAUACAGACGGUUGUUUUGUAGAGGCCUUUAAUGAGCUGUGGAAAACUAAGAGUUAAAAACAGGCCAGCAAGCAUAAGUUAUUAAAAUUCCCUUAAUGAUAAUGGAUUGGAGGAGCUUGCCCAUUGUACUAAAAUGCCCAGUUAAUUUGAGAGCCAAACAGAUGGGAAGUUUUGAGAAGGUAGGAGAGAAAAGGAGAUGACAGAAGCCGCAGUCACACACACAAGAUCUGCUCUGAAAUAACAGCUAUAUAUGGAAAUGAUUUGCAGGAUAUUGCCCAUAUGCUUCCCAAACCUGAGUCCCCACUGCAGUGCUGUCGAUUACAUCAACAAAUGUUGUCGCAUCUUUUGCAGCGCUGUAGCUGAGGGAGGUUUUGGUGCAAACUGUGAUGCUGGGCACACAGUGGGAUUAAUUGCAAUACUAAAAGUUGAUGACCUUUUGCAAAGCUGUGCAGGAGCACCAAGCCACCAGCAGUUGCAGAGCUCUGCAUGAGCAGGCUGCAGUAACAGGGUGCUGGAUGGCUCGUAGCAGCCUGGCUGGGGCCGGGAGCUGGCUGAGGUUUCCUCUGAGCAAAGCAGCAUGCACUCCCGCUCCUGUUAGUGGCAGAAGAGUAAGCCUGAAUAUUCAGGGCCCUGCCAGUUUGUGGCACUCUAAGGACUUGUUUGGCUGUUCUGGCCUCCUUACAAAGGAGAUAGGACCUCCUCUUCCUUCCCCACUCUCCAGCUGUGGUGUUGUGUGGACCCCCUCAAACAGUUCAGCUUUAGAAAAACACAUUAAAACAGCUUUGGAAGGAACAUGUUUUUUCACAUGGGGGAAAAGUGAGGAUACAAUAGACCUAUCUUCCACCCCCUGCUCGGCUGAAAAACAUGGACACAUCUUCAUUCCUCUGUGUCUCAUCUGUAAACGGAGUGGGGAUAAUGUCAUUCACUUCACUACUCUAUGCGACUGGAUGAUAAAAUUGCAAAUAAAAUUCACUGCAGGAAAAAAAGAAUUGGUGCAUAUGGGAGAAGGAGCAGUCCUAACUCUACACACUCAGCAGUGGGUUGCAGCCUACCUGUUACCCGUUCAAGAGGAAGAUGUUGGGAUUAAAACACAUAGUUCUGCAACAACAUUGGCUCAGUGAUCAGCAGCAGUCAUAAAAGUAGGCCUAAUAUUAGGAAUGAUUAUCAAGGGAUAGAAAAGGAUAGAGGUCAUUAUUACACCACUAUAUAAAUCCGUGAUUCCCGCAUCUUCAGUACUGUGUAUUUCUGGCAGCCUUACCUUUUAAAAAUAUUAUUGUAAAACUGGAGAAGAUCCAAAGGAGGUACCAAGGACAAUCAAAAUACAGAACAGCUUCAGCACAAGGAAUGAUCAAGUAGCUUAGGACUUUCCAGGCUGGAAAAGCAAUGGCUUUAGGGCUGCAAAGGGCACUGGAGGGCUGUGAAAUGAGGAGCUCAUGGUAGAGAAGAUGGUAGAGAACAGUCGUUCAGUGUUUCUUCCAGUGCUACAACUACUGGAGGACAGCAAAGAAACCAGCAUGUGCAGGCUUGAAGCAGUUCACAGAAGUGGUUCUUCACGUAUCAUAUGUUCAGCUGUGGAAAGGCUUACUGCAGGAUGCUCUAGCUGAUGAAAGUUUACAAGCAUUCAAAAACAACUGGAAAAACUCAUGAGAGAGAAAUGGAAAGUGACUAUUAAAACAACAUCUCUGUGUCUGGGGUCUCCUGGGCUUCAUGUGCUUGUGCAGGGAGGGAGUUUUAUGAAACUCUGUAGCUUUUAGUUUAAUUUCAUUCGAACCCUUUCUUUUAUCCUUACUGCGUUCUGUGAGAGAGCUUACUACUUCUCCCUGUCAGUGUUGUAGAGAGACAGCCAAAGUGGUCUCUUCCCUCUGGGUGGGUUUGUGUGAAGACUGUCCCACAGAGAGUGACCAUGACCUUAUGUUUGCAGGGUGGACACCAAUUUCUUUAUAGCAUGAAGGACUUUUGUUCCUGAAUCCUUGUACAACAGUUCAUACAGUGUAAAUGAGAGAUUGAUCUUUUUUAAAGGAGUGUUUUUUCCUAUGGUUCUGGGGUCUUUGAAAGGAGAGUAGGGAAGAAAAAUGUGAGAGAUCACAAAACACUUAUUACUCACAGUGUGAGUCAGCAGGAAGCAGAAAGGUAGGAAAGGAAAGGGGGCAAGAGGGGGAGAUGGAGAAGAGGCCUUAUGUCUUCCAGAGAGGCCAGAAUUGCUCACUCGUUUAUUGAUCUUAUUAAAAUCUGAAAAGGCAAACUGUAAAGUUGGAAGUACCAAAUGCCCAAACACUCCUUACAGGCAAGGCUGUCCAGUCCCCACUGCCUUGUGUGAGGCACUGAAUGGAGGCUCUUUCCAAACAAGGUAGUUUUCCCCUCUGUUAAAUCCAGAGGUUUACCUAGCUAGGAUGAGAACCAAAUGGAUUAUGACUUUAUUUCCUCUUCCCUCUCAGAUGAGUUCUGUCCAAUACUUCAUAGUCACAGCAUGAUACAGCUAUGUUUCUGGUUGCUUUUUAGUGUAGUCUGGUAAAUAAAGGCCUGGGCUUGGACUCAGGAGACCUGAUUUAUGCACUGGGUUCUGCUGCCAAGAGCCAGGAGGUCAGUCAGUUCCUCAUGACUGUCUCAGCUUCUCCAAUGUUAAACAGAAAAGAAAAUAAAAUGCAGAUGGUUUAGAAAGUCUUUGAGAUCUGUGGGAGAAGUGCUAGAUAAUCACUGAGCUAGCUCCCUUCGUGACUGCGUGCCGCUGUUCUAGGGCCUAGCCGGAGUGCUCCUGUGGUCUGCCAGGAGCUGCUGAAGGUGUUAGUACCACUGUCUGCUCCUUAUUUUUAACUUCUCUACAAGCAUUCAAAAGACCUGUAUUGUAUAGUUGAUUUAGGAGAACUGACUCAUUACAUGCCUGCAGUCUAGGCUCAAAGUAAGUGCUUAUGACAGGCAGAUGGGAUCCCUUCUGUAGCCCCCUGGGUGUUUUCUCAAUAAAAAAUUUUGGAAGACUGUCUCGCUCACAGUCAUCUACUGGAACCAGAGGUUAAAGAGAAGUUGAAGUUUAGUGAUGAGAGCAGAAGACCAGAUUCCAACUGUUUUCCUGAAGAUACCAGGGUCCAGUUAAUGUUUGGCCCCAGGAGAAGGCUUGUGUGGGCUGUCCCUCUUCAUGGGCAUACGUGUUACUUGUUGAAGUCCAACGUGCUCAGGGAAUUAUUAUUGCAUCUGUGGUAUUCAUUCUCUUUCCAGGCUCCAAACAUUGGUGUAUCUGUGUUCUUAAAAUUUUUUCAUACAAUUAUCCUUGUACCUUCCUGUGUUAUAGCUCCUAUUAUUUAGAGGGGAGCUGAGACAAAGAGGCUAAGCAGCUUAGUAUUAUUCCGUGCAACGUGCAGCUUUCAGACGUAUCCAUCUGAAGCUGCGUACAGACAAACACCCACCAAGCUGGCUCUGUCCUCCCCUGCAAGAGAAAGAAAUCCCCACUGCGAAGCGAUGAGAAGAGAGGCUUGCAAAGAGAUGGGCUGAGUAAAAUGCAGUGGGAUGCGGGAGCCCGCUCAUUGCUGCUCAUUAGCACAGCAAUGUGCACGGCACAUCACAGCACACAGAGGCACCUGUGUCAGCUAGUGCCCCUCCAGGCUCCCAUACAGGCAAGCUGGGAGCACACAAAAGCAAGGGAUUUGCCUUUAUUGUCCUAAUACUGUUUUCACCAGCUUUUUAACUUACGCACUCACUCCAAAUCUACUGACAGCUGCUUUCAAAGAUAAUAUUUUAAAAGUAAGCCCAAAUUGCUUUGUGCAGGAAGAUUUGGGGGCUACAUUUUUCAAGUCAGACUUGUAAAAAUCCAAAGCUGAAAAGUAUUUGUUUCCAAGCUAUCUGACUUACUGUAAAAAAACCCCCAAACCCUAGUCUCUCUCUUUUCUUCCAAAAGAAAUAAACAUUUAGUUCAAGCUACUAUUUUAUUUUUUUCUGAGAUUCAGCAGCAAUUUAUUCAGUUAUGGAAACUAUAAAGCUGCUGUUAUUUACAGAAAAGGAAAACAAAUGUUUGUAGUAGAAUAGCAGAUUUUUGUGCUCUGAAAUGUGUCCAGUAAACACUGUUAAAGCAUUGAUGCACCAAAGCGAGAAGUGAAUACAAGCUUACAGAUGGUAUGGAGUAGCUGUUAAAAAGCUUCUAAAGGAUAUUGCACAGCAUACAUUUGAUCUUCAUAAAUGCACAAAUAAAAAUGAAAUAAGAAAAUCUACAUUUUUCUACUACAUUAUUAUGGACCUUUAUCAGAAAAACAUCAGCCCAUGUGUGUUUAUCACAGAUUCCAACUUCUAAUGACUGCCUUGGUAAAAAGGACUGAGCGAUACCAUUCUUUAAAACAGUUUUCAUCUUUCCAGUGAAAUCCAUAGGGACCUUCCCUUUGCAAGACAGAUAAGCCAGUAAUUAGUUUACUAGAACCUAAGUAAGCAGUGUAUCAUGAGCCAGUGAAGUGGGAGAAUCACAGGCUAAAAUGAACUGCACUGUAGUUCUCUUAAAAUCAAUAGGAUUGACCCUCAGCAGUAGAUGUCUCCCUGCAUUGCAUGCUUUUAAAAAUGGGAUUUUUUUACCUAAACUUACUUUUUUGUUCAGCAGGACAAAUGCAGGUUUUUCAACACUUGUAUUUGUAACUGUUAGCUUACAAAUAGGCUCUAUGGUGCCAUUUUCAUGUUGUCCCAUUUCUAGGUGGCAUCAAGGCUUCUGCAAUACACCCAAGUGUAAAUGCAAUUCAUUUAGGUUAGCAUUGAAGGUUAGUUGAGGCUAGUGAAACGUAGCUUAGGUGGGAGCAUGCGAAUAAGAAUAUUACUGAGUUGAAAAAGGCUGUCAGUGGCCUUCGUGAGUGCUGGCAUAGCAAGGCUCAGGGACCAUUAAAUGGGAAUCAAAGCUAAUAGAAUUACAUUAAAUUAAAAGGAAACUGUCAUGAUAUUUUCCUGCCAUAACUCAAAUAUUUUCUCCCUCACUGUUUUUUAUUUUCAUUUUGUCUUUGAAGUGGAAAACUGAAAUCUGUAUUCUCACACCCCUCUCCAAAAUCCCUCCAUGUCACAAAAAUGCAUUUCAUUUUGUUUCAUCUUGGGGCUACUGCCUGGACAGGACCCGAUCCAGUGCCCGCUUAAACUGUGAGUUGUCCUACCCCUUGUUUUGAUUUCUUUUGAAUCAGGCUAGAGACAGAGCAUUUCAAAUUGUUUUUUGCUGCUAAAGCUCAACCAUUAUACAUUCAGCAACCCUGCCGUACUGUUAGCUCUGAGGCUGGGAUCGUUGAUCUAUGGCUGCAGGAUUAGGUUGAUAAAUUAUCCAGAAGAGACCAGUGCUUGAGGAAAAAAGGAAAUCAGGGAUUUGGAGGGUGAGCUGCCCGUUCCAGAAAAGGGAACAGCAAAAAAAGAAAAAAAGAAAGCCUCAAGAAAUAAAUAUUCAAAUGUUUUCCAACUCACUUUGGAUUGAAAGAUGUAUUUUGCCAAAGCCCAUGUUGAAAUGCUAUUUUUUUGAACUAGACAGUUCUAAUGUUUGAAAAGAAAAUUUCAAUGAUAUUUCCAAAUGAAUAUCCAUUUCGAAAGGAAAAACUGAAAUGUGUUGUAACAGAUUAUUAGAUUCAGAACAACCAGUCUGUUUCAAAAUAAGAGCUGGUGACCUUCUUGAUGAUACUGUGAAAUCAGCACUCUUCUGGUUGAAAAAAAGUUGCUUGGCCAGGCUGCAGGCAGAAACACCCGAUUCCUUGCCGCUAUUGAUAGAACCUUUUUAUUUUGUUUGCAGUGUCAUGGCUGUUAAUGAUGCACACACAGAGUGCUCAGCAGGCAUCUCUUUGAUAGAGGAUUUCAGUUACUGGUGCACAGAGUUAGAUUUAGUCACAUGAGGACCCCAAUACCUUACUGAACUGUUAGGUCAAUGCCAGAUUAAUUUAUUAUUAGUUAAUAAUUAACCUUGGGUAAUUUUCUGAUGGAAAGGUUUAGAAUCACAUACUGUUUUAUACAUAUCUUGGGUUGGGGUGUGCAUAACCAUAUUAGCACUUUUUUUCAGUGCCCUGUUGCUUCACAAAAUCCCUAAAAAUGAUAUUCCUGUUAAUGUCUAUAUUUCACUUAGGUAUGAUAUACGGGGAUGCUUGAGGAAUUUGUGGUGUGUGGGAACAGACAGCUUCUGCAAACAAGCAGUUUUUGUGCCUUAAUCUCCAGUUUUGAAAACCAGCCCUGGCAGAUGUCACAGUGAGCAUGAAGAGCACCCUGAGGUGUCUUGUUGUUGCUCAGAUUUCCAAGUUGCUUGGUUUAUUGGCAGGGAGAGGAGACGGUAAACUUUAUGAUAACUUUCCAGUGCGCUAUUAUGAUGUUGAAUGGGAUGCAAGAAAACAAGGGUUACCAAUGAGACUGUAAUGGCAGCACAGGUGGCCAAAGUUGAGGAAUUAAUCUUUAUUGGACUCAUCAGACAUGGGAGCAUCCCCUGAAGAUAAGGCUCAUUUGUAGCUGAGGUUUUUCCUACCAAGGAAACUUAAUGGGUUUAGGCCUAACAUAUGCCUAAACCUUCAACACCGACUUCCCCCUGACUCUUGGCUUUACCCCCACCAGCAGUGACAUUUGGGGAGAAGUCCGUUGCUCACAGAGGCCAGUGGAGCAGUGGUGCUGGGAUUAGUUUCAAUGUGCCCAUUUCCAUACUGGUACUAAACUAGCCCACAUUAAACUGAUUAAGCUUUAACAAAUUACUCUGUGUGCUGGAAGGUUACCAGCUGUAGCUACUUAUUAGUCCCUUUUCAAAUCAUUAACAAGCUAUUUAUGACACCUCCAUGUGCAGGUACAAAGCCUUCCGGAGGAUUCCUCCAAUUUAAUUUCUCUAGCUUAAACCUGAAUGGUGAGAACAAAGGCAGAACAUGCAGUGACUAAUUAAGAGGAUGAAGGAAGGCAGAGGGGAUACUGACAGGAGGUGACGGGAUCCUUGGAAAGAAAAAGCCACAGCCUGACUGUUGGGAGAUAUUAGAGGCAGCUCUUUGAGGCUUGGGCUUGCCGAAGUACAGAACUCUAAUCCAUGAGUAUCUCACUACCUUUUUUUUUAUUAAAAAGUGCUUUGUCCUUAACUAUUUACUUAAUACUGCACAAAAGCAGCUUACAGUUUCACAUCUGAAAUAAUACGCAGUACAAAUUCUGACUUUCUUUGCCAAAGGACUUUGGUAGGACAUGUAGUCCCUUGAUUACCAAGCACUUCACAAGGUGUAUGAGCUGGGAAGCAGGAUUUCAUCCGGUCCCGUGAGCACACUAUAGGAGGCAGAGAUACCAUGUGUGUCAAAGCCUCAGUGAGCCUGGCUGUCCAGGUGCCCCGAGUGUCCUGUCCAAAUCCUCUCCAGGGAGAGGUUGCAUCGGAGCAGAGCUGACAACCAGAGAACUUUGCUUUGUGGGGCAAGGACAGCCUUAUCUUUCAGUGCCCAACUGCUCUCCAGCGUCAAGGGCAGCAAGACUGGAAGAAUUUCUGUGUUUUUUGGCAAAAAGUCUUGCCAGUGUGGUGUCACCUUCUCAUGUGAAAAAGCACAAACAAAAGAACAAAACAGACCCAAAGAAAAGCAAGGCUCAUUGAUCGUUCACUUUGGUGUAAGCCCACUGCCAGUCUUCCUGCUGCCCUUUUGCACUGUCUCUUUUCUGUGUGGCUACUUGGUCUCUUAAUUACCCAUUUUUCCAUCCUCCUUUUCGCUUCUCCUUUACUCCCCUUGUUCUCCUAAAUCUUAAGUCACUGGGCUUUUUGCAGCCACAAUACUCAACCAAAAUAAUUUUCUGAGCUCUUGUCAAGGCGGUGAUUUGCCGCUGUGGUUGCGUUCUUCAGGCAGUCACCAAAGACUUGUUUGCAGCCAUGACACAAAAGCAUUUUACUCUAUUUCACUUUCCCCCUGUUGUCCUUGCUGCCACUGACCCACGUGCCACCACACUCAGGUGAGGGCUGGGAAAGUGUAGAUUGCUAGUGUCGGAAGCAGAGAUCUGUACUGUGUGUUUGUGCCUUCUGUGACAUGACAGUCUCCAUUCUCAGCUGGGCCUACUUCAAGCAUGACUUUAUUGUAGUAAUAGCCAUAGGACUGACUUAGUUCUUGGUAAAUUCUUACAGCACCUCUAAUUGGUUCGUGAUCCUGGGGAGAAAGAAAUCAACAGUACUAAAGCCUGAGCGCUGCUCAAGUGCUGUUUUGUGGCACUCAAGUUCAAUGGGAGCCCUAGCUGAGGAGAAGUGCCCAUUUGCAAAGCUGCCUCUUUUUCCUUUGGCAGUUUUUUAAAUUUUUAUUAGCAGAACAACUGUUUCAUUAGCGCCCUGAUUAGCCUCAGCAUUUGCUUUCUGUCUAAGAUAUGUGAAGGGCAAGCUCUUGACACAAAAGGAACAAUCAAGGGGAAGCAGCUGGCUGCAGCGUGCAUAACUGAUGAUGAAAUAGUCUUACACUGUCCUGUUGAAUUUACUCACAUACAGAGCAUCUGGUCCUCACCAUGCAAGGGAUGGGAGACAGGGUGAAUUGUAUGAAUGAGUGAGUAAAGCAGUAGAAAGCUUUGUGAAGCACACCUGCUUCCAACUAUCUCCAGACUGAAUAGAUAAAUGAGACAGGUAGACAAGGGUAUGGCAUACAGAGGAAGAUCCUUCUCAUUAAAGGCCCCUCUGAGGUGUAUGGGAGGAGGAUGAAGUGGGAUGCAAAGGCUGGCCAUGCUCAAGGCUUGCUGAGGAGGAAUCCCCUAGCAGAAGGAUUUCUGCCCUUAUGGGAAAAGCAUUCAGCCUGCAGCGAUGGAAGCCUGGAGUCCAUACUGCCUGCAAGAUCCAAUUCUGAUGCUGUUGGCUCCAACUGUCUGCACUGCAACCAUGUAUAAUGCAAAAGCAAGACAUAGCAGAGCUCAUUUGUAGCUUGCACAUCCAAGUGCCAAGAGUCUAGCAGCAGCUUGGGGAGCUGCAGGACAAACUGUCCAUACCUUGGAGAAGAGCAGUACCAACUUGUGCUGGCGCGUCCCAGGAUGUUCAGGACAGGUUUCCAUGCCCAGCGUACAGACAGUAGAGAUGAACCAGGCUCCAUCCAUAGGUACUGGCCAUUCUAGCUUAUGUGAUUGACAAAUUUAAUGGCCAUGCUGCCACAGUGAGAAGCUGGUCAUAUGAGAAAGAGAAUAUAAAUAUAUUUAUUUAUAAUAUCUAUCAGGCUUACUGUAGAAGGAACAUCUCAAAAGAUCUGUUGUAAUGCUCGUGGAAUUGAGUGUGUGUGUGGGGGGGUGUUGUUCAGUAUGAAGGUUGUUUCCAAUUUUUGAGUAAUCAAACUAGAUGCUUUCAAUUUUACUUUUUUUGCAAAAGCAACUAAUGCUUAAUUUUCACAUUGUGUGGAUGCUUCAAUUUUGUUAGCUCUUUGAAUUUUUCUCAGUAAAAUCAACUUUGAACAAUUGUUCAUUUCUAAUUAGUUUAAUCUUUAUUUUCCAAAACUGAAGUUAGACAAAAAAAUUGCCCAGAGGCUAUAUUACUUAUUUAAUUUUUCAUAGUAAAAUAACAAUUUCUAAAAUGAUUUUGCUUUUUUCUUCUAUAGGAUGAAAGCCAGGUUCUCCAUCCAACCCUAUCUGUGGCAUCUUGGCGUCAGAGCUAAGCUUGAUCCUGUUCAGUACCUCUUGCUUUCAUUACCUAUCCAAUCUUGUUUUCAACACAAAAACUGACUUUUCCGGUGUGUGAUUAAUGUCCUUAGAUAGGUACUGCUAUCAACUGGCAUGUAUGGGCUAGAGGUAUUAAAUGAAUUAUGCAGACUGCUGGAUGAAGUUGGCAUUUGAAUAGAAUUCCCCUUAUAAAAAUUGAUCUCUCGUUUUCUUCUCUAAUCAGUCAUUCUUCAUCUACUUAUUUAUUUUUAACUUUGAUCUUCUUUUUCUAAUUAACUCUUUCAUCCUACUCUGAGAGCUUUCAUAGCUUGACUAGGAGUAGACCUAGUAAGAAGACUUCUCUAAUUUUAUCAUUUAUAAUAAUUCCCAAACUGAACUCUAUUAGGAAUAUGAUAAAAUGAGGCCUUUGUUUCAAUUAAUACUCUUAAGGAAUGGUACAUUUUUUAAACUUUUCAUUUUAUUCUUUUUUUUUUUUUAAGAAAUCAUAAAUGCAGAAAGGUACUGUACUAGGAAAUUAUCAUUAUGACUGUUUCCACAGCCCUCAGCUUUUGAGCUAUGCAAAAUAAGCUUUACAAAUAUUCAUUACAAGGGAGACUUUGUCCCAAAGAGCUUGCAGCCUUAGAAGAGCAGAGGAAUGGGAGGUGAUGUGAUUUUUGCUCACAGUUCAACUAGCCAUUUGUCAGAGGCCAACUAGAAGCAGGGGUUUUUUAGCUGCUAGUGCCAGGGCCCCAAAGCCAAGUAACCUGUGCCCUGGGAGUAGAUGCUGUCAUGCCGGAGCACUAACACUUCUCACCCAUUUUGCUUUGGUGUAAAUGGCCCAAGAAUUGCAGACUUAGUUUAAUAGUGAAGCGAUUUGCAAUAAAGAAGUAUUUAAUAGCAUUUACUUAAUUUUAGUGAAAACCUUGAUCUUUCAGUGGCUGCUGUGUUCUCAAUGCCAAGGAGUUGCUGGGAAUUUUUUCUGUCAAGCGGUGGUGUAUGUAUGCCAGGUAUGGUUUGUUUGAAGGCAGUCCAAAGCAAAUUAAAUUACAUAUGUCUGUGCUCAUAUUUAAAACUAAUGUGAAUACUGUGCUUGCAAUGUAAUUACAUUUUAAUUACAAGAUAAUUGCCUAAUUACACUUUUCUGCAUUUGUAGUAUGCUGUUCAUAAUAUAACCAAAUGUUUCCCUGCAUGACUAAUAGUAAUUGCAGAGUAAAUAUACUUGGCUAUUAGUAAUAUAUUUCUUAGUUUGUCAGAAGAGUAAUAUUCCCAACCUUGUGGUUACCUUCACAUGGAUCGCUUUUUAUCACAGGAUGAAAAGCAAAAAUUUGCAAUAAAACAAGUCUGUAGUUACAGAAUUCUUACUGGAAAGUGUGAUCUUGUAUCUAUUAAUACCCGUAGUUAAUCAUUACCUUCAGCUAAUAUAUACUCAGGCAUAUCUCUAGUGACUGUUUUGGGGUGUGGGUGUAAGGUAAUAAGCUCUUUUCCACUAAGUGAUAACCACCAUGAGGUCCUGUCCUAAACUGGCUCUUAGCACCAGCAGAUUAUGAAAUGUUAAAUAAACGCAUAUAACGAGAGCAGAACUAGACCCCAGGGUUUAAAAUGAGACAUGCUUGUAGCAAAUGAAUAAGUAUGUUUUGUUUAAAGCAGAUUAAAAUAAAUCUUAUAGCCUUCUCUGCGUAAAGUUGUAUUCAGCUGUAGGUGGGGUUUGCACUGCAAGGCCCGUGGACAUACAGAAAUAACAUUGUGCUCUUAAUGCUGUGCUGCCUUCUCUACUGGUGACUGUAGAGGUUUUUUUAUUUUGCCUGAGUCUGUUGUUCUUCCACCUGCUGCAUUUUUGCAGGCACAGAAAUAGGUGAGCACCUGCCCCAUCAUUUCCUCUCUCUGUGCCUUAGUUCCUUGCCUCUCAUGAGAGGGAAUGCUAACAUUGUACCAACUUUUUUAAAAAAAGAUAAACUUGUAGCUGUUUGUGAGGAUCUUAUAUAUUAUGGUAAUGACGGUUGUAGUACUUGGAGUAGGAUGGAAGAUGAGACACUUCUGUAGGGAAGCACCUUGCAUCACGGGGGAACUCUGAUUAGAAGUUUGGGGUGAGCAAAUGCAUUUCAGCAUAAUGGCAUUCUGACCCUGCUAACAUUAGUGAUGUAUGUUAUUUAAUUCCCUACACAAGAUAAUUAGAAAUAAUUAAAGAGGGCAGGCUUCUCAAGUAAGUCAAGAUCCUCUUUUCGAAGGGAGAAUCUAGCUGAGCAAUCACUGGUUUUCAGUGCUGUUAGAAACGAAGUAGAAAUGUUGUGCUGCAAACUGUACACUUCUAUUUUUUAACUUAAACUCAGCAGAACAAAAGCUCAGGGCAGAAGUGAACCAGAUUGGAUCAGAUUUGACUGUACAGCACCAGUGAGCUCUAGGUCCCUUUAUUCAUGGUUGAAGACCAUAUUUUGAAAAAUAAUCUCUGUCUUGGGGCUGGAGGCACACGCACCAACGCUCCCCUGCAUGGGUUUUUCCCAGCCACCAGUUGACCUUGCCCCACAGACCCACUGCCUCUAUUACUGGGACAUCUUUAUCAAGUUUGUGUCCUUGUCAUAGAGGCAUGCUUCUUCUCUUCCUUGCUACUUUCUGUGUAUCAUGUACAAAUUAUAGCGCUUCAGCAAGCUCUGAUACAGAAGUCAGGGCAUCUGUGUGCCUUUGAGCUGAUGGGAAUGGGUAAGGUUAUUUUGCAUACUUAUGGAAGGAAGGGAAAAAGAACAGCAACUCAUUAAUGAAAUAAUUCUUCUGGUCUGUUGUAACCUUUAAAUUCAGGAUUUUCAAACAUGCCAGACAGUUUAGGUGGGUUGAGUUUUAGCAGCCUAAUUUAGAGAGGCUAUGUCCUUAUUCUGUACUUUGAAACCAGACUCCUUUGUGAUACCUUCAUCUGGAGGGCAAAAAAGGAACCAGCUGGAAUCCAAGUCUGUGAUGAACCACCGGUCCAUUUAUUAUGGUUACAUUCAAACAAUGACACACACAAUGCCAUUUGGAGAGGCAGGAUACUUUUAGUUUUCAGGAAAACAGCAGUGUUUUAUUUUUGUUUGCCUGGGAAUAAUUCUGCCAGCUUUGGACUUAUGUUUCCAUGCCUGCCUUUGCAGUGCUUGAUGAUAGUCAGAUGCCAGUAUCUGUCAGGAAGCCACUUGUUAUUUGAAAGUCACACAGAUAAUUUCCAAAAGGUACUGUCAUUUGCAUCAUGUAAAUGUGAUUAAAUAUACUGUAGUUAGGGUACAGAAUCCCUGAGCUUUUAAUCUCAGUAAACCUGAAAAGUUAAAAUAUCUCACACUUUCAGAGCUUUAGUCUAUCCAGAAGAAACCAUCUGCUUUCCACCAAAAAUCACUCUUUUUCCUUUUUCUCUGUAAAUUAAUCCUACAGUGAUUAAUUUCAGUCCAGUUAAAAAGAACAUGUAGGCAGCUGUACAAGCUUGAAUAGAUGGGGGCAUGAUAGUGGAGCUCUUCAUAGGGGAACCGGAUUUGAGGCCAGUGUUUUAGGCUAGGAGGCUGGUAGCGAUACUCCAAACUUUGGUAUCCCUGGCAAGUUGUGUAGUAGAUAAUAGUACCAUGCUGGUUGUCUAUGAAGCACCUUGCAGUGGAGGAACUGAAUGCUUUUCCUGUAAAUACUAUUACAUAUCCCUGUAAAGAUGGUAUGGGUUGAAGAUGAGCUUAAGCAUUUAUGUUCAUAGCAAGAUCUUGAAAUACAGUGUCAUCUCGUGGGGAAGGCAAAGGGCUCCCCUGCACCCCAGGAGACAGGCACUGCCCUUCUGCUUUUCCACCACCCUGCAGCAAAUCGCUUUGCGUCCUCCUCCAUGUUUAUUCUCAGUGAAACUGUCUAAAACAUGAACCUUCAGGGGCAUUUGGGAGCCAACGGGCGCUGGAGCUUUUUAAUUCUCAUACAAAACUUGAAAAGUCUACAGGGAAGGAACAGGCUUUUUAGGCACAAAAAUCAGAAGAAUCAUCCUGCGCCGCAGCCUCCAGGCUCAUGCUUCUUCUGCGCACAUGCUGGGCCUCCAGCUUCGCCUCACCAGUGGGAAACACUGGACACAGAGUUUGCCAUGGAAAUUUGGCUGUGUUUGUGCAUUCUUCUGCUUGUACAGUACUUCAAAAGCUUUUUCUGCGCUGCUGAGGAAGAGCUGUAAGCCAGUGUCGAUAAUUUAAUGAGCAGCACUUGAAGAACAUUUAUUGUUAUGACUCAUAUUCCUGCGAAUAGCCCAGUGGUUGAUGCUGGGCCAGCUAGGAGGCUGGCUCAGUGCCCAGCAUGGCUGCGUGCAGGCACCUGAGCAGAGAUGUUGCUGGCCGGAUUUUGAUUGCUCCCAAGUGGAACUGGUGGAGACUGAGUCUAUCUGCAAAUGUGGCCUCCAACAGGAAGUGAGAGCAAUUUGGAAAGUCUUUUAACAUACAUAAAGGAAGGAGAAAAUGCCACUCCACUCUCAGUUUGAUCUUCACACAUCUUCAGAGGACCUGACUGUGGUGUGGCCAAAGCUGAAAACUACCCAAGAAACACAAUUCUGAGACAACAGGAGCAGAAGAGCACUUCAGAGUGAUGAGUCUCGCUCUACAAAUUAAGACUGAAAGCUUUUAUGAUUGAAUGGUAGCAUUGCAACCUGGGCAUUUGCUGCUUUUCUGUGAUUGGAAUGGGGCUUUUUUAUUAAGGCUGUUUAUAUAUAUCCAUAGCUUGUCAUUAGUAGUUGUAUGCUGAUUUGUAGCUGGACUAAAUGAUUCCUUUGAGUGUUGCUUCAGCUCAUUUUUUUCCAGCUCCCC